GGCAAGAUGGCCGAGUGGUCUAAGGCGUACGACUCAAGCGGUACAACUCAAUUGGCAGCUUGUCCUAGACAACUAGGGUUUCUUCGUAUGACGCAAGUCGCGUGGGUUCGAAUCCCACUCUUGUCA
This is a transfer RNA of 126 nucleotides. It matches the Rfam family "tRNA". From Rfam's summary of the family: Transfer RNA (tRNA) molecules are approximately 80 nucleotides in length. Their secondary structure includes four short double-helical elements and three loops (D, anti-codon, and T loops). The record is from Rfam.